Malurus melanocephalus (red-backed fairy wren) is the source of this 92-nucleotide small nucleolar RNA. Lineage: Eukaryota; Metazoa; Chordata; Aves; Passeriformes; Maluridae. The record is from RefSeq and is a predicted model, not a curated record.
GGCCCCCCAUGAUGGCAGCACUGGGCUCUGACACCCCCUGAGGAUUCCCGUGCCCCCCCCAGGAUUUGACCCCGGGGAGGUCUGAGGGGGCC